This 673-nucleotide ribosomal RNA is filed under the name uncultured Enterobacterales bacterium. RNAcentral's name for it is "bacterial SSU rRNA". It matches the Rfam family "Bacterial small subunit ribosomal RNA", at positions 61 to 723 of the family's 1533-position model. The record is from RNAcentral. Lineage: Bacteria; Pseudomonadati; Pseudomonadota; Gammaproteobacteria; Enterobacterales.
GUCGAACGGUAACAGGAAGCAGCUUGCUGCUUCGCUGACGAGUGGCGGACGGGUGAGUAAUGUCUGGGAAACUGCCUGAUGGAGGGGGAUAACUACUGGAAACGGUAGCUAAUACCGCAUAACGUCGCAAGACCAAAGAGGGGGACCUUCGGGCCUCUUGCCAUCGGAUGUGCCCAGAUGGGAUUAGCUAGUAGGUGGGGUAACGGCUCACCUAGGCGACGAUCCCUAGCUGGUCUGAGAGGAUGACCAGCCACACUGGAACUGAGACACGGUCCAGACUCCUACGGGAGGCAGCAGUGGGGAAUAUUGCACAAUGGGCGCAAGCCUGAUGCAGCCAUGCCGCGUGUAUGAAGAAGGCCUUCGGGUUGUAAAGUACUUUCAGCGGGGAGGAAGGCGACAGGGUUAAUACCCCUGUCGAUUGACGUUACCCGCAGAAGAAGCACCGGCUAACUCCGUGCCAGCAGCCGCGGUAAUACGGAGGGUGCAAGCGUUAAUCGGAAUUACUGGGCGUAAAGCGCACGCAGGCGGUCUGUCAAGUCGGAUGUGAAAUCCCCGGGCUCAACCUGGGAACUGCAUUCGAAACUGGCAGGCUAGAGUCUUGUAGAGGGGGGUAGAAUUCCAGGUGUAGCGGUGAAAUGCGUAGAGAUCUGGAGGAAUACCGGUGGCGAAGGCG